ACAAAUCAGCACCUGCAGGUCAUCAGCUACACACACGUCUAUUCCAGUCUUUAUUACUUUCUGAGGACCACAAUCUCUCAAGGUUAUCUGUGAGGACAGAGAAGACAGAGAAUUACACAACUGGGAAAUGCCAUAAACAAAACGAUGAAACAAAGCUGGAGAACAAUGGAGGAAAUGAACACAUGGAAAAUGAAUUCCUUCUAUUAGGAAAUACUUUGAAUUCCAGUUUCCAGUUUCACAUUUUACAACAACACCUUUAUAAUAAACCGGCCUGGCACCCUCAUCAUGGCUGCAGAACAGUCGCUCCUCCGGGGGAUGGUUAUGUCUGGAUUGUUCUUUCCUGAAAACUAUGGUUGCUAUAAAUUAAACUGACAGGUGUAUCUUCCUGCUGUCAGCUCCAAAGAAAUGACCUUGGACUGAACAUGCAAAGAAAGAAGAUUGCCUUGGACUCCCCCUUUUUUUCAAGAUCAAAGUGUAUUGAGAUUGAGACAAGACCUUGAGGGGCUGAAACCAAGUCAAGACCAGACCAGUGCGUCUCCCACACUGCAUGACACUUAGGAUAAAAUGUGGAACAUGCCAACCAUAGGCACUCCUCAAAAAACAAAUGAAGAUUCCUCUUCAUUCACCUCUUAUUGUCAUAUAGGCCUAUACAUAUAUACUGUAUAUAUGUGUAUGUAUACGUGUACCAUGAGAAAUGUCUUAAUAAAAUCAUCAAAAGGCAUUGCAGAGGUGAAUUUUAUAGGUGGGAAUUUUCAUUUGUUUUCUAUGAGCAAUCACAGUAAUGAUGUUAACAGAUAAAUCAGACAAUAAACAGGCAAUUUAGUGAUAAUCCGGGCAGUUCUGAUCUUGAGAUAAAAUCCAAAGUCCUCUUUGUCUGA
Sebastes umbrosus (honeycomb rockfish) is the source of this 878-nucleotide long non-coding RNA. RefSeq lists it as uncharacterized. The record is from RefSeq and is a predicted model, not a curated record. The transcript has 4 exons. NCBI's taxonomy places the organism in Eukaryota, Metazoa, Chordata, Actinopteri, Perciformes, Sebastidae.